UACAGAGGUCUCAAGCGUUGUUCGGAUUCAUUGGGCGUAAAGGGUGCGUAGGCGGCGCGGUAAGUCGGGUGUGAAAUUUCGGAGCUUAACUCCGAAACUGCAUUCGAUACUGGCGUGCUUGAGGACUGGAGAGGAGACUGGAAUUCAUGGUGUAGCAGUGAAAUGCGUAGAGAUCAUGAGGAAGACCAGUGGCGAAGGCGGGUCUCUGGACAGUUCCUGACACUGAGACACGAAGGCCAGGGGAGCGAACGGG
This 253-nucleotide ribosomal RNA is filed under the name uncultured bacterium. RNAcentral's name for it is "partial 16S ribosomal RNA". It matches the Rfam family "Bacterial small subunit ribosomal RNA", at positions 524 to 776 of the family's 1533-position model. The record is from RNAcentral.